GGUACAGUUGAGCAAUUGGCUGGCUCGCCUGACUGUAGAUCAGGUCCUUUCAAUAGGCGUGUAGGUUCGAGUCCUACCUGUACCA
This 85-nucleotide transfer RNA is filed under the name marine bacterium AO1-C. It matches the Rfam family "tRNA". Rfam says of the family: Transfer RNA (tRNA) molecules are approximately 80 nucleotides in length. Their secondary structure includes four short double-helical elements and three loops (D, anti-codon, and T loops). The record is from Rfam by way of RNAcentral. Lineage: Bacteria; Pseudomonadati; Bacteroidota; Cytophagia; Cytophagales; Cytophagaceae.